AUGUCCGUGUGAGGGUUCAAGGCCAAGCUGAAGUUGUUGGCCUCUAUCUUCCACAAGAACCAGGAGCCGCCGCCGCAGCUCACGCUCCACUGCAACAUCACGGAAUCCUAUUCAUCUUCUUCACCGAUAUGGUCUGUGGACUCUGAUGAGCCAAAUCUGACAUCAGUUCUGGAACGUCUAGAAGAUACUAAGGAGAACAGUUCG
This 204-nucleotide long non-coding RNA is filed under the name Homo sapiens (human). RNAcentral's name for it is "non-protein coding lnc-WDR73-11:1". The record is from RNAcentral. Lineage: Eukaryota; Metazoa; Chordata; Mammalia; Primates; Hominidae.